This 431-nucleotide ribosomal RNA is filed under the name uncultured bacterium. Its description in RNAcentral is "partial 16S ribosomal RNA". It matches the Rfam family "Bacterial small subunit ribosomal RNA", at positions 29 to 507 of the family's 1533-position model. The record is from RNAcentral.
AACGAACGCUGGCGGCAGGCUUAACACAUGCAAGUCGAACGCCCCGCAAGGGGAGUGGCAGACGGGUGAGUACCGCGUGGGAACAUACCCUUUUCUACGGAAUAGCUCUGGGAAACUGGAAUUAAUACCGUAUACGCCCUACGGGGGAAAGAUUUAUCGGGGAAGGAUUGGCCCGCGUUGGAUUAGCUAGUUGGUGGGGUAAAGGCCUACCAAGGCGACGAUCCAUAGCUGGUCUGAGAGGAUGAUCAGCCACAUUGGGACUGAGACACGGCCCAAACUCCUACGGGAGGCAGCAGUGGGGAAUAUUGGACAAUGGGCGCAAGCCAGAUCCAGCCAUGCCGCGUGAGUGAUGAAGGCCUUAGGGUUGUAAAGCUCUUUCACCGAUGAAGAUAAUGACGGUAGUCGGAGAAGAAGCCCCGGCUAACUUCGUG